AGGACGAACGCUGGCGGCGUGCUUAACACAUGCAAGUCGUGGGGGGGUAGCAAUACCUCACCGGCGAACGGGUGCGUAACACGUGAGCAACCUACCUCGAUGCGGGGGAUAGCCGGCCCAACGGCCGGGUAAUACCGCAUACGAUCUCUUGGAGGAGUCGUCCGGGAGAAGAAACCCGUUACGGGGCAUUGAGAGGGCUCGCGGCCUAUCAGCUAGUUGGCGAGGUAACGGCUCACCAAGGCGAUGACGGGU
This 252-nucleotide ribosomal RNA is filed under the name uncultured soil bacterium. Its description in RNAcentral is "partial 16S ribosomal RNA". It matches the Rfam family "Bacterial small subunit ribosomal RNA", at positions 26 to 284 of the family's 1533-position model. The record is from RNAcentral.